UGAGUUAUACAUUAUUUGUUUAGGAAAAUUAAUUAUUCCUUUUCAAAAUUAUACCAUUUUAUUUGUUUUUUUUAUAUUUUUUACUGUAGUAUAGUUGUUUGCUAUGAAGAUAUUCAUCUAGCUUAUGUCAGUUCUGCUUCUGAGAAUUCUUGAUUGAUAAAGCUGUUACAUAUUCUGAGCCUCCCAGUGAAACCAAAUCAUAUUUUGAAUCUUGUUCUUAUUUUAGUAAUUAUUUAGUUUUUUGUUGCUUAUCGUUGUGUUGUAAUAAUAUAAGGCUUGUGAUGAUUUAAUCCAUCUAGUUUGAGGUGUAGUGGAACUAAGCCCAUGUUUACAUGGAGAACCUACUUGGGGAAGCUACGUUCAUAUGACAUCAUUGGAUUAUUCUGAGGCUUUAUAUUAUGAUAUCCUUUACAAUUACUCUUACGAGACCAUGUUUUCCUUGUUGUUAUGGUGUGUUAGUAUGAUUUAAUUAAAUGAUUUUUUACUGAGUUUCACUAUACCCUUUAGAAUGUUAAUUUGUUCAGGGUCUGAAUAACUCAAAGAUUUUGUGUUGUCAUCAGCUUCAUCUCUUGUCCAACCCACGGGAUAGGAGUUAAAUAACAGCACUACAUUUAUUUUAUUAGCAUUUCAUUAUGGUAAUUUAGUAUGACCUAUUAUGGCUGUUAUUUUUUCCGUAGUAUCAUCUACCUCGCAUUUGCACAGAGCUCUUGGUUAUUCUUUGGGCACAUGAACCAGUGAUCUAAUGCUGAGAGGACCAAAGCUCGUCUUGUAAUUAGGCUGGGCUAUCACACAUAGGUUCUAAACUCAUUCUAUCCAUCUUUGCUUUUGUUUAAAAGCAUAAAAUUUGUAUUCCGUGAUGUAGUGAUUGGUUCCUUCAUAUAGUAAAUGCAUUACGUAUUUACAAAUUUCAGAAGUAGUUGAUUAUAUUAAUAUAAAUCCCCGUUCCUCUAUAAUAUCCUCAUAUGAAACUUGGUAUGAAUUAUGGAAUUUGGCGAAUACUUGUUUGUAGUAUUAAAAUAGACGUGUUGACAAUUAGUUAAUAUUGUUUUUUUACAGUCAAUAACUUUAAGGUGUUGAAAUGAUGAAUAUGGAUUUAUAUUUUCACACGACGGUCGUCGGAAAUUCACUUUGAUGUUAUCAUCCAAAAAUUCUGAUGGCUUUUACCUUUUUUUCACUUAUGGUUAGAAUAGGUAAUGCUGUUAGUCUUCUUUCAUCUGUGGUAUUCUGAAGUUCAUCGAAUACUAAUAAGUUGAUAAAUUUGUCACAAUUUGUUAGGUUCGGUGGUGGUAGCAAUGAUGAAGAUGCUGAGUGUUAAGUGCCAAAAAUUAGUAAAAUUGUACAUGAUUUGUGGGGCACUUAGUAUGCAUUUAUGUUAUAAUUGUAUACAAUUCCUGAUAACUUAGUUAAUUUUGCUCUAGUUAGGAAUUUAUUGUGUUUUUGUUGUUUCAUGUUAAUAAAUAAAGAAAAGAGGAGAAGAAAAGAAGAAGGAUGAAGAUUCUGAAUAGUGCAUGUCUCGCCUAAGCGAGGAAAGAGUCGCUCAAGCGACAACUAAGAGAAAAAGCAACAAAAUACCUGAUGCUUCUCGCUCAAGCGACGGAUCUUCGCUCAAGCGACGGAUCUUCGCUCAAGCGACGGAUCUUCGCUCAAGCGACGGAUCUUCGCUCAA
Molecule: long non-coding RNA, 1666 nt
Filed under: Lupinus angustifolius (narrow-leaved blue lupine)
Lineage: Eukaryota; Viridiplantae; Streptophyta; Magnoliopsida; Fabales; Fabaceae
Source: RNAcentral